AACCCAUGGUGAGGGCACCAUCUCAAUAUGUCCUUAUACCUCACCAAUGCAUCAUAUAAGGUCUCUAAGUCCAUCUGCACGAAGGAAGAUAUAUAAUUCCUCAACUU
RNAcentral lists this small nucleolar RNA (107 nucleotides) under Gossypium hirsutum (cotton). RNAcentral describes it as "Plant small nucleolar RNA R71". It matches the Rfam family "Plant small nucleolar RNA R71". Rfam says of the family: R71 is a member of the C/D box family of snoRNAs containing the C (UGAUGA) and D (CUGA) box motifs. Multiple nearly identical copies of this snoRNA have been identified in Arabidopsis, and it is thought to function as a 2'-O-ribose methylation guide for 18S ribosomal RNA. The record is from Rfam by way of RNAcentral. Lineage: Eukaryota; Viridiplantae; Streptophyta; Magnoliopsida; Malvales; Malvaceae. RNAcentral also lists the same sequence under 1 other name.